This 319-nucleotide unclassified non-coding RNA is filed under the name Hevea brasiliensis (rubber tree). Lineage: Eukaryota; Viridiplantae; Streptophyta; Magnoliopsida; Malpighiales; Euphorbiaceae. The record is from RNAcentral.
UGCGGUGUUCGACCGGUGGUUUGCGUCGGUGCCAGCGUCGACUCAGCCGAAUCGACUCUACGUUCACUCCGGCACAUCUCACGGCGCCACCUCUAACAUCGCGGAGCUGUUAGCUAAAGGUUACCCACAGAGAACGAUUUUCGAGAAUCUCGACGACGCCGGAGUAAAUUUUGGAAUCUAUUAUCAGAAUAUUCCCGCGACUCUGUUUUACCUGAAUUUGAGAAAGCUUAAGUACAUCGGAAAAUUUCAUCCUUAUGAUCUCACAUUCAAAAGUGAUGCUAAAUCAGGAAAACUACCAGGAUAUGUUGUGGUGGAGCAG